RNAcentral lists this ribosomal RNA (279 nucleotides) under uncultured bacterium. Its description in RNAcentral is "partial 16S ribosomal RNA". It matches the Rfam family "Bacterial small subunit ribosomal RNA", at positions 506 to 784 of the family's 1533-position model. The record is from RNAcentral.
UGCCAGCAGCCGCGGUAAUACGGAGGGGGCCGGCGUUGUUCGGAAUCAUUGGGCGUAAAGCGCGCGCAGGCGGUUGGGUCAGUCAGACGUGGAAGCCCUGGGCUUAACCCAGGAACGGCGUUUGAUACUGCCCAGCUAGAGUUCGGGAGAGGGUGGCGGAAUUCCCAGUGUAGAGGUGAAAUUCGUAGAUAUUGGGAGGAACACCUGUGGCGAAGGCGGCUACCUGGACCGAUACUGACGCUGAGGCGCGAAAGCCAGGGGAGCGAACGGGAUUAGAUA